RNAcentral lists this ribosomal RNA (253 nucleotides) under uncultured bacterium. Its description in RNAcentral is "partial 16S ribosomal RNA". It matches the Rfam family "Bacterial small subunit ribosomal RNA", at positions 524 to 776 of the family's 1533-position model. The record is from RNAcentral.
UACAGAGGAUGCAAACGUUGCUCGGAAUUACUGGGCGUAAAGCGCGCGCAGGUGGUCUCGUAAGUCGGGCGUGAAAGCCCGGGGCUCAACCUCGGAAGUGCGCUCGAUACUGCAGGACUUGAGUACUGGAGAGGAUCGCGGAAUUCCCGGUGUAGAGGUGAAAUUCGUAGAUAUCGGGAGGAACACCAGUGGCGAAGGCGGCGAUCUGGACAGAUACUGACACUGAGGCGCGAAAGCGUGGGAAGCAAACAGG